RNAcentral lists this ribosomal RNA (367 nucleotides) under uncultured organism. Its description in RNAcentral is "bacterial LSU rRNA". It matches the Rfam family "Bacterial large subunit ribosomal RNA", at positions 2099 to 2465 of the family's 2925-position model. The record is from RNAcentral.
CUUUACUAUAGCCUGGAAUUGUGUUCGGGCUUUACUUGCGCAGUAUAGGUGGGAGGCGUUGAGUUUAUUCUUGCGGGAAUUUAGGAGCCAUCAGUGAGAUACCACUCUGGUAAUGUUAGAUUUCUAACUUUGUAUCAUAAUCUGGUCAAAGGACAGUUUCAGGCGGGCAGUUUGACUGGGGCGGUCGCCUCCUAAAUGGUAACGGAGGCGUACAAAGGUUUCCUCUGAACGUGUAGAAAUCGUAUCUAGAGUAUAAAGGCAUAAGGAAGCUUGACUGUGAGACUUACAAGUCGAGCAGGGACGAAAGUCGGUCUUAGUGAUCUGACGGUGCUGAGUGGAAAGGCCGUCACUCAACGGAUAAAAGUUA